AAAUAACAGCAGAUGGCUCCGGCCCAAAGCGCUCCGGGUUCCCUCACUCCAUAAAUGAUUUUACUAGGCCAGCCAUGAGCUUGAUGUAAUCGAAUAGGUUUCACUCUUUUCCCUCUCCCUCCACAGAAUAUUUGUGCAGCUUACGGGGAGGCAUCCAGGGGGACCGAGCUGUUGCUGGAAGGAAUCUCUGACUCGCUCUUGCCUCAUCACCUUGGGAAGCAGCCAAAGAAUCCUACUCUCUGCAGGGUAAGGAGGAGGUGACUGCAGGACUAUGAUGACCAUAGGAUUCGUCUCCAAGAGAAAAUUCCCAUGGAUGUGAAGCCUAUUCAAGGGGGCUAAUAGAGACAUUUCCUCCUAAUGAUGAUUACUCAGCAGAAGUGAUUGCGUGAUUCCCAGAAAUACUGUGUGCUGAACUACCGCUUCCUUAAAACAUAACACACAGCAACCUCUAUCCAGUGAGAUGUGAAGAAGAAAAUGCUGCAUAGCACAGCUAUUCCUCCAUGGCAGAAGUGUAACAUCUUCCUCUGGCCCAGAAAAUGCUCGGAUCUAAUGCAGAUGUGCUGGUGAGCUGGGUAAGCCUUGGGACCUACCUACGCUACAGUUCUUCUUGUCCUUGCAUCACAGCCUGCAUGGCAGAAAUGGCUUCAUGUCUACUGAUUUAA
RNAcentral lists this long non-coding RNA (662 nucleotides) under Gallus gallus (chicken). Its description in RNAcentral is "long non-coding RNA NONGGAT003688". The record is from RNAcentral. Lineage: Eukaryota; Metazoa; Chordata; Aves; Galliformes; Phasianidae.